This is a long non-coding RNA of Rhipicephalus microplus (southern cattle tick), 623 nucleotides long. The record is from RefSeq and is a predicted model, not a curated record. NCBI's taxonomy places the organism in Eukaryota, Metazoa, Arthropoda, Arachnida, Ixodida, Ixodidae.
CCGCUGGGGGGUAGAAUCGUUUCUGAUCACGGCCAAGUUUGGGGUGCGCCUAUUAUACGCGGAAUUAAAGAAAACCGAAUUUUCCGCGACCAAAAUAGGGGUGCGCCCAUUAUGCGAGUAAAUACGGUGUAUAUAUAUAUAUAUAUAUUAGCAACUGGAGUGCACUAAAAAAAUCACUAGCAACUGAUAACUAUGUUAUGACUGUCGUCUUCUAUCACUCUUUCUGCCACUGUGUAUACCAUGACGAGUUAAGCAGCGAGCAUGGAAGCCUGGUUCCAUAAGUGUAUGCCCUUCUUCCUAUUCUGCUCUAAUAACUCCAGAGCCGAUGUGUCCGUACGUUUUGGAUCUGUCUGUGCAAAAUUCUGUGAAGCCUCGGCUAAGCACACUUGAAAGUCUUCUGUUAAAAGAAGUUCACGGAAAAAAGUGCACAGUCAAGGACACAAGAAAGUCUGCAUGCCUACCUUCUGCGAUGAAUCUUCACCACCCAGCACAACUUUGUCAUUCUAAAUUUAUUGUAACUGCUGGAGCACUAAAAAUGGUAGUAAUACUUAGAGAUAAAAUAUAUGGUUGAAAUGAAUAAAGUGAACAAGGGGAGGAUCUGAGAUCAAAUUGUAGAAAAUGAA